AUUGAACGCUGGCGGCAGGCCUAACACAUGCAAGUCGAGCGGAGCGGCGGACGGGCGAGUAAUGCCUAGGAAUCUGUCUGGCAGUGGGGGAUAACGACCGGAAACGGGCGCUAACACCGCACACUAUCAGUUGAGCCUGGCUCGGUUUAGUUAGUUGGUGGGGUAAAGGCCUACCAAGGCGACGAUCCGUAACUGGUCUGAGAGGAUGAUCAGUCACACUGGAACUGAGACACGGUCCAGACUCCUACGGGAGGCAGCAGUGGGGAAUAUUGGACAAUGGGCGAAAGCCUGAUCCAGCCAUGCCGCGUGUGUGAAGAAGGUCUUCGGAUUGUAAAGCACUUUAAGUUGGGAGGCGUUACCAACAGAAUAAGCACCGGCUAACUUCGUGCCAGCAGCCGCGGUAAUAC
RNAcentral lists this ribosomal RNA (407 nucleotides) under uncultured bacterium. RNAcentral's name for it is "partial 16S ribosomal RNA". It matches the Rfam family "Bacterial small subunit ribosomal RNA", at positions 30 to 526 of the family's 1533-position model. The record is from RNAcentral.